This 152-nucleotide long non-coding RNA is filed under the name Pongo abelii (Sumatran orangutan). RNAcentral's name for it is "lincRNA". The record is from RNAcentral. Lineage: Eukaryota; Metazoa; Chordata; Mammalia; Primates; Hominidae.
AGACAGUAAAGGAAAAGGGAUGUAACAGGUGAAACAAGACUGACCAUGUUUUAAUAAGCUGGCUAAUAGAUUCGGGUGUACAUGUGCAGGUCUGUUACCUGGGUAUAAUACGUGAUACUGAACUUUGGGGUACAAGUGAUCCUGUCACCCAG